RNAcentral lists this long non-coding RNA (431 nucleotides) under Ananas comosus (pineapple). RNAcentral's name for it is "long non-coding RNA (ACOM_LNC039978)". Lineage: Eukaryota; Viridiplantae; Streptophyta; Magnoliopsida; Poales; Bromeliaceae. The record is from RNAcentral.
GGACUUAGCCGAUUUUUCGGCUGUCUCAUUUCAUACGCGUUCGGGGACCGGUCUCUCCCACCAGGGACCGGUCCCCGAGAGCUGAAAACCUGCAGAAUGCAGAUUUCACAACUUUUAGCUCUCGAAAACCUCCCGUAACUCACUUUUAAUCAUUUUAACACCUUCGGACUCUCCGAAGUGUUCCAUUCUCGCACUUUGGUCAAUUUGACUAAAGUUCGACAUUUAUUUUUCGAAUUUUCGGUAUAUUACAGGCCCCGUCGCGUGCCAACCUCCGGAGUGCACUACCUAUGAGGACUACCUCCACAGGUGCAGACAGGCUAUGUGAGCUCGAUCCAAUCCUCAUAACUGGGAACAUCCUAUCAACUAAGGAUAAUGUCAUCAACUGGGAACACCCUAUCAUCUAGGGUUAACAACAUGACACUUUAGGUUCU